Molecule: unclassified non-coding RNA, 348 nt
Filed under: soil metagenome
Description: partial contains 5.8S ribosomal RNA, internal transcribed spacer 2, and large subunit ribosomal RNA
Rfam family: 5.8S ribosomal RNA (bases 1-120)
Source: RNAcentral
GAUGAAGAACGUAGCGAAAUGCGAUAAGUAAUGUGAAUUGCAGAAUUCAGUGAAUCAUCGAGUCUUUGAACGCACAUUGCGCCCCCUGGUAUUCCGGGGGGCAUGCCUGUCCGAGCGUCAUUGCCGCCCUCAAGCACGGCUUGUGUGUUGGGCCCCCGCCCCCCGGCUUCGGGGGGCGGGCCCGAAAGGCAGCGGCGGCACCGCGUCCGGUCCUCGAGCGUAUGGGGCUUCGUCACCCGCUCUGUAGGCCCGGCCGGCGCCCGCCGGCGACCCCAAUCAAUCUUUGCAGGUUGACCUCGGAUCAGGUAGGGAUACCCGCUGAACUUAAGCAUAUCAAUAAGCGGAGGA